GAUGAACGCUGGCGGCGUGCCUAAUACAUGCAAGUCGAGCGAACAGACGAGGAGCUUGCUCCUCUGACGUUAGCGGCGGACGGGUGAGUAACACGUGGAUAACCUACCUAUAAGACUGGGAUAACUUCGGGAAACCGGAGCUAAUACCGGAUAAUAUAUUGAACCGCAUGGUUCAAUAGUGAAAGACGGUUUUGCUGUCACUUAUAGAUGAAUCCGUGCCGGAUGAGCUAGUUGGUAAGGUAACGGCUCACCAAGGCGACGAUGCGUAGCCGACCUGAGAGGGUGAUCAGCGACACUGGAACUGAGGCACGGUACAGACUCCUACGGGAGGCAGCAGUGGAGAAUAUUGGACAAUGGGCGCAAGCCGGAUCCAGCAAUACCGCGUGGAUGAUGAAGGCCUUCGGAUUGUAAAGCCAUUUUGUUGGGAAAGAAAAACAGCGCGUUAAUCCCCCGCUGUUCUGACGGUACCCAGAGAAUAAGCGCCGGCUAACUUCGUG
This 497-nucleotide ribosomal RNA is filed under the name uncultured bacterium. RNAcentral describes it as "partial 16S ribosomal RNA". It matches the Rfam family "Bacterial small subunit ribosomal RNA", at positions 28 to 507 of the family's 1533-position model. The record is from RNAcentral.